This is a non-coding RNA of Callithrix jacchus (white-tufted-ear marmoset), 2788 nucleotides long. Lineage: Eukaryota; Metazoa; Chordata; Mammalia; Primates; Cebidae. The record is from RefSeq and is a predicted model, not a curated record.
AGAGAACAAAGUUCCUAUUUCGAUCUUCCAUGCAGUGGUGUCGCAGGGAAGUGGACUCAGUGGACUGUGACUCAAAGCUCCAGAGGUGACUCAGCAAUCACAGAGAGUGAUGCACGACGAAAGCAGCCACUGUGAACCUUCACAAACCUAGAGGAGAAUUCCAAGACUAUCUGCCGAGUGAGUAAGAAAACCAAAUCUUCUGAUUUUCCCCAGAGGGGAAGCAAGCUUCCAUAUUGUGAGCAGACCAAUGGGAGAGGCCCAUGUGGCAAAGAAGUAAUUUUUCUGGCCAACAUCCAGCAAGAACCUAAAGCCUCUAAUAGCAACGCGACUGAGUCACUGAGUGGAUUCUGCUCCAGUGACACCUUGAGAUGAUUGCAGCCCGACCUAUCUUGGAUAGCCCGACCUAUCCAAGCCAAACCAAGCUUGGAUUCCUGACCCACAGAAAUUGUGAAAUAAUGCAUAUUUGUUAUUUUAAACCAUUACACUUUGGGGUAACUUUUAUGCAGCGAUAGAUAAUAACAUACGGCUAUUGCUGCUUUAGAUGAAUGCUCUUUAUUUUAUAAUAAUGUUGAUUCUUACAAACUUGUGGAUCUCGUUUUUUACUUUUGAUAGUGUGUAUGUUGAUUCUGUUUUUAUAGAAAUAUACAUUUUCAGUGGAAAAGGUAACCAGUUUUUAUCCUUUUUCAAUCCUUAUACCUCAUUCUUUUUCUUUUCAUAUUGCCUCAGACCUCAAGAACUAUUUAAAACAAUACCCGUGAUUUUGGACAUGUUUGUCUUCAUUCCAAUCUUGAAGAGUCUGCAUCUAAAGCUUCUCAUAAUAAGUAUGAGUAUAUUUUCCAAAGAUGAGUAAUUGGACUCAGAGAAGAAAAGUAACCUUGGUGACAAGUGUAACCAGGAUUCGCUCACACCUUCACCUGUCAUCUCCAAAAGGUAUCCGCUCUUUCUGCAGUUAAGUAUCCCUUAUCUAAAAUGCUUGGGACCAGAAGUGUUUUGGAUUUUGAACUUUUUUAAGAUUUUGGAAUAUUUGCACACACAUAAUGAGGUAUCUUGGAGCUGGGACCCAGUUCUUAACACAAAAUGCAUCUAUGUUUUGCAUGCACCUUGUAUACCUAGUCUGGAGAUAAUAUUAUAUGAUAUUUUCAAUAAUUCUGUGCAUGAAACAAAAUUUUGUUUGUGUUUUUACUGUGAUCCAAGUGAGCUCACGUGUGGAGUUUUCCACCUGUGGUAUCAGGUUGGAUCUCAAAACUUUUGGAUUUGGGAGCAUUUUGGAUUUAAGAUUUUGGGAUUAGGAAUGCUCAACCUGUAUUACCCUUUGUGUAUAUGGCCUUUUCUACUCCCACCUCACAAGAUCUGAUGGGUUCAGGAAAUUCUGUAAGAUAUUAAAGAUGGCUUAUUGUACUUUAAUAGGUAGAUGGCCAAAACUUGCUUUAUGCUUCAAUUUGAUAAGGUUAGUUUCUAAGAGAAAAAGAACUUUGCUGUCCUUUUUUACUGUGAAAGAAUGAGUUGAGGGAUAAACUAUCACACAUAACUCUGUUUUCUCCAAGUUGCAGGAGGUUGAAGGGGAGAAUCCAGAGGCUGUGGAUGACAGUUGCAACGCAGUCAAAGUGAUCAUUCAACUUUGACACCAUACAAAACGAACAUUGUGAUCUCAGGAGUAUGCCCUUUCUUUCCUUGUCCCAUUUAUAUCAGUCAAGGUCUGGUCAGAAAAACAGAAGCCACUCUAAGUAUACAGAGUAAGAAAUGGUUUAAUAUAGGAAUUAAAGGCUGGGCAAGUAAAGCUCAGGAAGGCCACUUUUAGGAAACUUUAAAGUGCAGUUCUUGUUCUCUAACCAAUCCUUUCAGUUGCUAGGAGCACUGACUUGGUAAUUCUUAGGAGGAUACCCAAAAGCAGUGAGAAAAUUCCACACUGCUUCUACUCUCCUAGUAGCUGCUAUGCAGAACAAUGUCUUCCCCUUCUCUUCUACCUUCUAAAUCUCAUGCAACUUCUUCUUAUUGGUGGAAUCUAUUUGGGAUCCUAUUUGCAAUGGAGGAUAAAAAUUGUAAUUGUAAUUUCUAGACUUUAUGCUCCUGGGGACACGGAAAAGUAUAGAAUAACAGACAUGAUACUGAGUACUAACAAAUUAUACGUGGUACACUGUGUCUAUUUGCUCACCAUUAUUAGUAAAAACUCACAAAUAUAUGUUGAUCGAAUUAAUGGAUACAGAAGCGUCCCGGUUCUGGAACAGGAUUUCUUGCUGGGAAUCAAGAUUCCUCUGCACCGUCAUUCAGUGAUGCCAUGUGCUCCAGGCCCUGAAGGCACUUUGAAGCCCUUAAUGGCCUGCUGCUGACGUGACUGUAGAAGAAGCAGAGGUGUGUUCCCCACCUUUCACUGAGGUGGGCCAUGUCAUUGCAUCAGGUGCUACUGGUGUACAUGUAAACCCAACCACAUCACUCUGCUGUUUCAAGUAACACUUCGGUCGCUUUCUAUUGACUUUAGAAUAAAAUCUGAAUUUUCCAUGACUUCCAAGAAUUUGCGUUUUCUGGACUCUUUCUAACUCUCCAACUUACCUCACUUUAUUUCUCUCUCACCACAUUAUGUCUGCACAACCUUUCAGUUCAUCAAACAUGGCAAAUGAUUUCCACCACAGGGCCUUGGCUUGAGAAGCUCCCACUGCCUGGAAUCCACUUUGCCACACUUCUGCCCCAUUCUUUUAGGACCAGCUCCUAGAAUCCUUCCAUCCUAAACAUCACAUCCUCAAAGAGGCCUUCGCUGGUCACUCCAUCUAAGUGAGAUAUUCCCUGUUAGUAU